AUACGGAGGGUGCAAGCGUUGUUCGGAAUUACUGGGCGUAAAGCGCGUGCAGGCGGUAAGGUAAGUCAGAUGUGAAAGCCCCGGGCUCAACCCGGGAAGUGCAUUUGAUACUGCCUUUCUUGAGUAUGGGAGAGGAGGGUGGAAUUCCCAGUGUAGAGGUGAAAUUCGUAGAUAUUGGGAGGAACACCCGUGGCGAAGGCGACUCUCUGGACCAAUACUGACGCUGAGACGCGAAAGCGUGGGGAGCGAACAGGAUUAGAAACCCUAGUAGUCC
This 274-nucleotide ribosomal RNA is filed under the name uncultured bacterium. RNAcentral describes it as "partial 16S ribosomal RNA". It matches the Rfam family "Bacterial small subunit ribosomal RNA", at positions 523 to 796 of the family's 1533-position model. The record is from RNAcentral.